UGGGGAAUAUUGCACAAUGGGCGAAAGCCUGAUGCAGCAAUGCCGCGUGUGUGAAGAAGGCCUGCGGGUUGUAAAGCACUUUCGGUAGGAAAGAUAAUGACGGUACCUACAGAAGAAGCACCGGCUAACUCCGUGCCAGCAGCCGCGGUAAUACGGAGGGUGCAAGCGUUAAUCGGAAUUACUGGGCGUAAAGCGCGUGUAGGCGGUCUUGUAAGUCGGAUGUGAAAGCCCCGGGCUCAACCUGGGAACUGCAUUCGAUACUGCUCGACUAGAGUAUGGAAGAGGGAAGCGGAAUUCCGGGUGUAGCGGUGAAAUGCGUAGAUAUCCGGAGGAACACCAGUGGCGAAGGCGGCUUCCUGGUCCAAUACUGACGCUGAGACGCGAAAGCGUGGGGAGCAAACAGGAUUAGAUACCCUCGUAGUCCCUGAGCGGGCUGGCAAGGCGCAU
This 447-nucleotide ribosomal RNA is filed under the name uncultured bacterium. RNAcentral's name for it is "bacterial SSU rRNA". It matches the Rfam family "Bacterial small subunit ribosomal RNA", at positions 355 to 825 of the family's 1533-position model. The record is from RNAcentral.